GGGGCUGUAGCUUAGUGAGAGCGCUCCCCUGGCAUGUGGGAGGCACUGGGUUAGAUCCUCAGCACCACA
This 69-nucleotide transfer RNA is filed under the name Marmota monax (woodchuck). RNAcentral's name for it is "tRNA.Ala". Lineage: Eukaryota; Metazoa; Chordata; Mammalia; Rodentia; Sciuridae. The record is from RNAcentral.